RNAcentral lists this ribosomal RNA (397 nucleotides) under uncultured bacterium. Its description in RNAcentral is "partial 16S ribosomal RNA". It matches the Rfam family "Bacterial small subunit ribosomal RNA", at positions 523 to 918 of the family's 1533-position model. The record is from RNAcentral.
AUACGUAGGUGGCAAGCGUUGUCCGGAUUUACUGGGUGUAAAGGGCGCGUAGGCGGGAUGGCAAGUCAGAUGUGAAAUCUCCGGGCUCAACCCGGCAACUGCAUUUGAAACUGUCGUUCUUGAGUAUCGGAGAGGCAAGCGGAAUUCCUAGGGUAGCGGUGAAAAGCGUAGAGAUCGGGAGGAACACCAGUGGCGAAGGCGGGUAACUGGACUGCAACUGACGCUGAGGCGCGAAAGUGUGGGGAGCAAACAGGAUUGGAUACCCUGGUAGUCCACACUGUAAACGAUGAAUGCUAGGUGUAAGAGGUAUCGACCCCUUUUGUGCCGGAGUCAACACAAUAAGCAUUCCGCCUGGGGAGUACGGCCGCAAGGUUGAAACUCAAAUGAAUUGACGGGG